CCUACGGGGGGCUGCAGUGGGGAAUUUUGGACAAUGGGGGCAACCCUGAUCCAGCCAUGCCGCGUGAGUGAAGAAGGCCUUCGGGUUGUAAAGCUCUUUCGGCGGGGAAGAAAUGGCAACGGCUAAUAUCCGUUGUUGAUGACGGUACCCGCAUAAGAAGCACCGGCUAACUACGUGCCAGCAGCCGCGGUAAUACGUAGGGUGCGAGCGUUAAUCGGAAUUACUGGGCGUAAAGCGUGCGCAGGCGGUUUCGUAAGACAGACGUGAAAUCCCCGGGCUCAACCUGGGAACUGCGUUUGUGACUGCGAGGCUAGAGUACGGCAGAGGGGGGUAGAAUUCCACGUGUAGCAGUGAAAUGCGUAGAGAUGUGGAGGAAUACCGAUGGCGAAGGCAGCCCCCUGGGUUAGUACUGACGCUCAUGCACGAAAGCGUGGGGAGCAAACAGGAUUAGAUACCCGUGUAGUC
RNAcentral lists this ribosomal RNA (465 nucleotides) under uncultured Azospira sp. RNAcentral's name for it is "bacterial SSU rRNA". It matches the Rfam family "Bacterial small subunit ribosomal RNA", at positions 338 to 795 of the family's 1533-position model. The record is from RNAcentral. Lineage: Bacteria; Pseudomonadati; Pseudomonadota; Betaproteobacteria; Rhodocyclales; Rhodocyclaceae.